AGGGCGCACGGUGGAUGCCUUGGCACUAGAAGCCGAUGAAGGACGUGACUAACGACGAAAUGCUUUGGGGAGCUGUAAGUGAGCAAUGAUCCAGAGAUGUCCGAAUGGGGGAACCCGGCAGGUAAUGCCUGUCACUCAUUACUGUUAAGGUAAUGUAGAGGAAGACGCAGUGAACUGAAACAUCUAAGUAGCUGCAGGAAGAGAAAGCAAAAGCGAUUGCCUUAGUAGCGGCGAGCGAAACGGCAAGAGGGCAAACCGAAGAGUUUACUCUUCGGGGUUGUAGGACUGCAACGUGGACUUAAAGAUUAUAGAAGAACUACCUGGGAAGGUAGGCCAAAGAGAGUAAUAGCCUCGUAUUCGAAAUAGUCUUUAUACCUAGCAGUAUCCUGAGUACGGCGAGACACGUGGAAUCUCGUCGGAAUCUGGGAGGACCAUCUCCCAACCCUAAAUACUCCCUAGUGACCGAUAGUGAACCAGUACCGUGAGGGAAAGGUGAAAAGCACCCCGGGAGGGGAGUGAAAUAGAACCUGAAACCGUGUGCCUACAACAAGUUCGAGCCCGUUAAUGGGUGAGAGCGUGCCUUUUGUAGAAUGAACCGGCGAGUUACGAUAUGAUGCGAGGUUAAGUUGAAGAGACGGAGCCGUAGGGAAACCGAGUCUGAAUAGGGCGCAUUAGUAUCAUGUCGUAGACCCGAAACCAUGUGACCUACCCAUGAGCAGGUUGAAGGUGCGGUAAAACGCACUGGAGGACCGAACCAGGGCACGUUGAAAAGUGCUUGGAUGACUUGUGGGUAGCGGAGAAAUUCCAAACGAACUUGGAGAUAGCUGGUUCUCUCCGAAAUAGCUUUAGGGCUAGCGUCGAUGUUAAGUCUCUUGGAGGUAGAGCACUGUUUGGGUGAGGGGUCCAUCCCGGAUUACCAAUCUCAGAUAAACUCCGAAUGCCAACGAGAUAUAAUCGGCAGUCAGACUGCGAGUGCUAAGAUCCGUAGUCGAAAGGGAAACAGCCCAGACCACCAGCUAAGGUCCCAAAAUAUAUGUUAAGUGGAAAAGGAUGUGGGGUUGCACAGACAACUAGGAUGUUAGCUUAGAAGCAGCUAUUCAUUCAAAGAGUGCGUAAUAGCUCACUAGUCGAGUGACCCUGCGCCGAAAAUGUACCGGGGCUAAAACAUAUUACCGAAGCUGUGGAUACCUUUAUAGGUAUGGUAGGAGAGCGUUCUAUGUGCGAAGAAGGUGUACCGUGAGGAGUGCUGGAGCGCAUAGAAGUGAGAAUGCCGGUAUGAGUAGCGAAAGACAGGUGAGAAUCCUGUCCACCGUAAGACUAAGGUUUCCAGGGGAAGGCUCGUCCGCCCUGGGUUAGUCGGGACCUAAGGAGAGACCGAAAGGUGUAUCCGAUGGACAACAGGUUGAUAUUCCUGUACUAGAGUAUGUAGUGAUGGAGGGACGCAGUAGGCUAACUAAAGCAGACGAUUGGAAGAGUCUGUCUAAGCAGUGAGGUGUGAAUUGAGUUAAAUGCUUAGUUCUAUAACAUUGAGCUGUGAUGGGGAGCGAAGUUUAGUAGCGAAGUUAGUGAUGUCACACUGCCAAGAAAAGCUUCUAGCGUUAAACAUACUCUACCCGUACCGCAAACCGACACAGGUAGUCGAGGCGAGUAGCCUCAGGUGAGCGAGAGAACUCUCGUUAAGGAACUCGGCAAAAUGACCCCGUAACUUCGGGAGAAGGGGUGCUGACUUUGGUCAGCCGCAGUGAAUAGGCCCAAGCAACUGUUUAUCAAAAACACAGCUCUCUGCUAAAUCGUAAGAUGAUGUAUAGGGGGUGACGCCUGCCCGGUGCUGGAAGGUUAAGAGGAGUGCUUAGCGUAAGCGAAGGUAUGAAUUGAAGCCCCAGUAAACGGCGGCCGUAACUAUAACGGUCCUAAGGUAGCGAAAUUCCUUGUCGGGUAAGUUCCGACCCGCACGAAAGGCGUAAUGAUUUGGGCACUGUCUCAACGAGAGACUCGGUGAAAUUUUAGUACCUGUGAAGAUGCAGGUUACCCGCGACAGGACGGAAAGACCCCAUGGAGCUUUACUGCAGUUUGAUAUUGAGUGUCUGUACCACAUGUACAGGAUAGGUAGGAGUCUAUGAGAUCGGGACGCCAGUUUCGAAGGAGACGCUGUUGGGAUACUACCCUUGUGUUAUGGCCACUCUAACCCGGAUAGGUGAUCCCUAUCGGAGACAGUGUCUGACGGGCAGUUUGACUGGGGCGGUCGCCUCCUAAAAGGUAACGGAGGCGCCCAAAGGUUCCCUCAGAAUGGUUGGAAAUCAUUCGUAGAGUGUAAAGGUAUAAGGGAGCUUGACUGCGAGAGCUACAACUCGAGCAGGGACGAAAGUCGGGCUUAGUGAUCCGGUGGUUCCGUAUGGAAGGGCCAUCGCUCAACGGAUAAAAGCUACCCUGGGGAUAACAGGCUUAUCUCCCCCAAGAGUUCACAUCGACGGGGAGGUUUGGCACCUCGAUGUCGGCUCAUCGCAUCCUGGGGCUGAAGUCGGUCCCAAGGGUUGGGCUGUUCGCCCAUUAAAGCGGUACGCGAGCUGGGUUCAGAACGUCGUGAGACAGUUCGGUCCCUAUCCGUCGCGGGCGUAGGAAAUUUGAGAGGAUCUGCUCCUAGUACGAGAGGACCAGAGUGGACUUACCGCUGGUGUACCAGUUGUUCUGCCAAGAGCAUCGCUGGGUAGCUAUGUAGGGAAGGGAUAAACGCUGAAAGCAUCUAAGUGUGAAACCCACCUCAAGAUGAGAUUUCCCAUGAUUUU
RNAcentral lists this ribosomal RNA (2783 nucleotides) under human metagenome. RNAcentral's name for it is "bacterial LSU rRNA". It matches the Rfam family "Bacterial large subunit ribosomal RNA". The record is from RNAcentral.